CCUACGGGAGGCUGCAGUGAGGAAUAGUGGUCAAGGGACGCAAGUCUGAACCAGCCAUGCCGCGUGCAGGAAGACGGCUCUAUGAGUUGUAAACUGCUUUUGUACGAGGGUAAACGCAGAUACGCGUAUCUGUCUGAAAGGAUCGUACGAAUAAGGAUCGGCUAACUCCGUGCCAGCAGCCGCGGUAAUACGGAGGAUUCAAGCGUUAUCCGGAUUUAGUGGGUUUAAAGGGUGCGUAGGCGGUCGGAUAAGUUAGAGGUGCAAUCCCGCGGCUCAACUUCGGAAUUGCCUCUGCUACUGUUCGGCUAGAGUGUAGUUUCGGUAGGCGGCAUGUCUGGUGUAGCGG
RNAcentral lists this ribosomal RNA (346 nucleotides) under uncultured bacterium. Its description in RNAcentral is "partial 16S ribosomal RNA". It matches the Rfam family "Bacterial small subunit ribosomal RNA", at positions 338 to 681 of the family's 1533-position model. The record is from RNAcentral.